ACCACUCAACUACAUCCAUUGCGGUCCCAUUUGAUUUACUCAUUCAGACAAAAAGUCUUAAAUUUUCUAACCUCCUAUAUGCCUCCAUUUAAUUUCCUCUCUAUGUUAGGCAUAAAUUAAAGUAGAACAUUAUAUUAUUUUGAAAGUUGGGUUUUCCUCUGUAUAUUUCUCCUCUGCUGGUUAUAGUUGCAAGAAAGACAGUGAUGGAGGGAAAAGUUGAGGCAAUAUCCAAGGAGCUACACGAUAAUAAUGGAAUUCAUUGUGAAACAAAAUUGGAGCAGGAAGGAAAAUCAGUAACACAAGAGAUCAAACAAGUAAAUUGCGAUGACAAAAUCAAUGAAGAAGAGAAAAAGAAGAUUUCUCUCGUGAGAGCUCUUGCUGAAAAGCAAGAUCCAUCUUCCAAGGAAGUCGAUGAUUUUGCGAUAAGAAGGUUUCUUCGAGCAAGGGAUCUGGACGUGGACAAAGCUUCAGCAAUGUUGUUGAAAUACCUAAAAUGGAAGAAAAGCUUUGUACCAAAUGGGUUUAUUUCACCUAGUGAGAUUCCAAACGAGAUAGCACACAACAAAAUGUUCUUGCAAGGUGUGGAUAAACAAGGACGCCCUAUUGCUGUCGUUUUUGGUGGCAGACAUAUGCAGAACAAACUAGGAGGCCUUGACGAGUUCAAACGGUUUGUGGUAUUGGCUUUAGAGAAACUCUGUUCAAGGACUUCACCAGGAAGGGAAAAGUUUGUGGUAAUUGGGGAUCUCCAAGGUUUUGGCUAUUCCAAUAGUGAUGCUCGUGCAUACCUUGGGGCUCUAUCCAUUUUACAGGACUGUUACCCUGAAAGACUUGGAAAGCUGAUUGUUGUUCAUGUCCCUUACCUAUUCUGGACAAUGUGGAAAAUUGUGUAUCCUUUUAUUGAUAACAACACCAAGAAGAAGAUCACAUUUGUGGAAAACAAACGACUCACGACAACUCUACUUCAAGACAUUGAUGAAAGCCAGCUACCAGAGAUUUAUGGCGGCAAAAUGCCAUUAGUUCCUAUUCAUGAAGCCUAAGCAAGUAGUUACACAUCAUUAUUAUUCGGAGCACCAUUUUGAGGAGUUUCAGGUCCUCUGUAGUUUCAACAAAAGCAAGACUGAUUGCCAUCAAGCCGGUUUUGCACCUAGCUUUUAGUAAUCAGUCAUUUCUAGGAAAGAGGAAUAUUUGUUGCCGAUUUGGAGUUCUGAUGGGAUAUAUUGUUGAGGUUAUACACAAGUACAAGCAUGAUUCUACUCUGGCGUGUAGCUCAUGACACUGUCAUACAUGAAUGGCCUGCAUAUUUAUUCAGAGCAGUUAAGAACUACAACGGUUUUCCAAAGUUGAAGGAGAAAUUGAAGACAAAUUAUAUUCAGCACGGUGUAAAUGGCUGCAGAUAUUAGUGAAGAUCCAAAAAAACAAAUACCUCACUGAAUCUUCUCUAUCAUUCCUACUUGCAACAUAUCUAACAUUCCAGGCCCAGUCUCAGAGAUUUGUUACCUACUGGUGUACACACUUCUAAGGGGCAACCAAUUUAACCCUUUCAGACCUGAUUCAUACUAACUAACUUAACUGACUAAUACUAAGUUAAUCAGAGAAACUGUUUUGCAGUUUUACUGUUUUAGCAAGAGUCAGGACAUCUAUUAUUUGCUCUAACUGGCACAGCACAGAAGAGUCGGAUAUUCCAAAAUUUAAGAUCCCUUUGUAAAGGAGAAACAUAAAAAGCAGCCUAGAUUCAUCCUUCACCUGAGAAGAAGAUUACAAAAACUUCUAUGUAUGUCUUAAGUUAAACAAGUCAUUCUGUUUACAGGGUA
Molecule: RNA transcript, 1811 nt
Organism: Lycium barbarum (goji berry)
Lineage: Eukaryota; Viridiplantae; Streptophyta; Magnoliopsida; Solanales; Solanaceae
Exons: 7
Source: RefSeq, a predicted model, not a curated record